UUCGACGGAAAGGAGAUUUUAGCAGUUUCCUUCUGGUUGAUGGGUGUAGGAUUUAUUUUUAGUGUUAUAAGUCAAAUGGGGUUCUUUGCCUAUUUAACAAUCCAUCGUUUUGGACUGGGGAUGUUUAGGUCACCUUCUUUAUGGAAUGCAGUCCAGCUCUUCUUUAUUGCAUUCGUUUUAUUUGAUUUCGUGUAUUUAAGAUCCAUAUUGAUUGCAAAUGGGGAAGUUUCGUUAGGGAAUAACAUACUUGUUGCAGGUGUAUUAUUUAUGUUUGGGGCGAUUGUUGCUUACAUAAAAAGUAAAGAAACGAAUAGAAAGGCAUUUGUGCCCGCUUUGUUCUUUAUGGUUGUUGUAACAAUUCUUGAGUGGGUACCAGCGCUUCGUAUUAAUGACACAGAUUGGUUGUAUUUAAUGGUGAUACCACUUUUAUUAUGUAAUGCAUAUCAGUUACUUAUAUUACAUCGUUUAAUUGGAAAGGUGAGUAAGUCGGCUUAAGUAAGAGAGAUUUUUGAGUUUUUAUGCAGGGUGGUUGUACGAAUAUAAAUAUCGGGAUGAAAAAAGCUCUACUACCUUCAUGAUAGGUAGUAGAGCUUUUUAUGUGUGAAGGCACGAGGGAAAAGAAUUACCUUACAUCUUUACUUUUUGUACUUGUGUUAGAAAUAAGUUGUGAUACCGAUAUUUGCUCAUAUCCGUCACUCUUUAAUUUUUGCAGAAGCAGUGGUAAAGCUUUAUUUGUUUGAAGGGCAGAAUCGGAUGCAUGUAAUAAGACGAUAUCUCCACCUUUUAAAUUAGUAGAGACAUUGGAAACGAUAUUGUUUACACCUGGGUUUUUCCAGUCGUUUGAGUUAUUACUCCAAUGGACGAUGGUGUAUCCGAGUGAUUCUGCUAUUUUAAGUGUUGCUUUGUUAAAGUCUCCACUAGGUGGACGUAAUAGUUUGACUUGUUUCACACCAAGUUUUGUAAAAACAUCUUGUGCUCGUAAAAGAUCUCUUCGUAUUUCAUUUGCCUCUAGAGAAGUGUAGGACGUGUAAUUAUAGCCCAUACUACCGAUUUCAUGUCCAUCUUUUAUGAUGCGUUCAACAACAUCAGGAUGUCUUUCUGCCCAUGCAGCAGAAACGAAGAAGGUUGCAUUCUUAAUGUCUCUUUCUUUAAGUGUAUCAAGGAUUGGAAUUGCUUUUUUGUCUCCCCAACUAAUAUCAAACGUGAAUGCAACUUGUUUUUUAGAGGUGUCUCCUUUGUAAAUAACUUUAGGUCCUGUCGCAGUUGAAAAAGCAGAUUCAUGUGAAUAUGUUUUUAAAAAGAGAAGCCAUGCUGUAAAUAAGGAAAGUAUCACUAUUAAGCUAAUGUGUUUAAAAGCUCGUUUACUCGUAAUAAAAAAGAAAAACAUAAUAUUACGCCCCUUUGUCCAAUCCUUUUCAGUUACAUAUAUGCUUUAAAUAUUAAAAAGAGAACAAAGGAUUAAUAUCGUAAGCAGUGGAUAUAAUGAAUGAUAGGAUUUUGAUAAGUGAAAAUGAGCGUAACGUUUAUUGCUUUGUAAGAAAUGAUUGAGGUGAGGAUUUGCUUGGGUUUAUGUUAACAAAAGAAGAGAAAAAAGAAAUGGAAUACAUAUUGAAGAGAGAGUUAGAAGAACUGUUAUUUGAUUUUGAAGAUGAACGUAUUCAUGACGUUGUAAAAAAGGCGAUGGAAGAAAGAUAUAAAAUCAUUUUUUGUUUGUUUCGAAGAGUCGCUAAUGCAGAAGAGUGUAUGCGUUAUGUAAGGAAAAGAAUUUUUUAUUAAAAAGUGUUGACGUUAAUGGUUAUUAUAUGAUAAAUUAAUAACCGUCGCUGAUGCGGAAACGCAGAAAACGACAAAAAAAGAAAUUGAAAAACUUAGUUGACAUUGAAAAACGAAGAUGUUAACAUAAGGAAGUCGCAAAUGAGCGACUAAGUAGUUCUUUGAAAACUGAACGAAACAAACAACGUGAAACGUCAAUUUUUAUUUUUAGAUGCUAGACAAACUAACUUUAUUGGAGAGUUUGAUCCU
RNAcentral lists this ribosomal RNA (2022 nucleotides) under Bacillus wiedmannii. Its description in RNAcentral is "23S ribosomal RNA". Lineage: Bacteria; Bacillati; Bacillota; Bacilli; Caryophanales; Bacillaceae. The record is from RNAcentral.